UACUAUUGCCAUGCCACCCUGAACACACCGAUUCCGUCUGAUUUCAGAAGCUAAGCAGGGUCAGGCCUGGGUAGUACUUGGAUGAGAGACCACCUAGAAAGACCAGGUGCUACAGGUG
This 118-nucleotide ribosomal RNA is filed under the name Pteropus alecto (black flying fox). The record is from RNAcentral. Lineage: Eukaryota; Metazoa; Chordata; Mammalia; Chiroptera; Pteropodidae. RNAcentral also lists the same sequence under 1 other name.